GUUGUAGGUCCUUGGAAGAGGAUCUAUGUUUUUUCACAUCACACACCGUCGUAUGUCUAUAGAAUGUAUUGAAGACCGUCCGAUGGCGGUCGAUAAAUAAAUCAUACAACUUUCAGCAACGGAUCUCUUGGCUCUCGCAUCGAUGAAGAACGCAGCGAAUUGCGAUAAGUAAUGUGAAUUGCAGAUUUUCAGUGAAUCAUCGAAUCUUUGAACGCACCUUGCGCUCCUUGGUAUUCCGAGGAGCAUGCCUGUUUGAGUGUCAUUGAAUUUCUCAAACCUAUGUUUCUUUGGGACAUGGGCUUUGGAGUUGGGGGCUGCUGGCGGCAAAAAGCUGUCGGCUCUCCUGAAAUGCAUUAGCAAAGGAUGGCAAGUCUUUUGACGUGUACGGCCUUCAACGUGAUAAUGAUCGUUGUGGCUGGAGCGUCGGACAUGCAUGAAUCAUCUGUGCUGCUUCUAAUCCUACUUAGGCUAGCCUUGGCUUGGUCAAUUAGCUACUAGUCGGUUGUGAGACUGAUGAAUGGUUGAGCACGCUGAGCUUUAGGCUUGUCUCUAUUCGAAACUUGA
This 564-nucleotide ribosomal RNA is filed under the name Boletus sp. YM952. RNAcentral's name for it is "eukaryotic LSU rRNA". The stretch from base 108 to 262 matches the Rfam family "5.8S ribosomal RNA". The record is from RNAcentral. Lineage: Eukaryota; Fungi; Basidiomycota; Agaricomycetes; Boletales; Boletaceae.